RNAcentral lists this ribosomal RNA (590 nucleotides) under uncultured bacterium. RNAcentral's name for it is "bacterial SSU rRNA". It matches the Rfam family "Bacterial small subunit ribosomal RNA", at positions 64 to 649 of the family's 1533-position model. The record is from RNAcentral.
GAGCGGCAGCGCGGGGGCAACCCUGGCGGCGAGCGGCGAACGGGUGAGUAAUACAUCGGAACGUGCCCAGUAGCGGGGGAUAACCAGUCGAAAGAUUGGCUAAUACCGCAUACGAUCUACGGAUGAAAGCGGGGGACCGCAAGGCCUCGCACUAUUGGAGCGGCCGAUGUCGGAUUAGCUAGUUGGCGGGGUAAGAGCCCACCAAGGCGACGAUCCGUAGCUGGUCUGAGAGGAUGAUCAGCCACACUGGAACUGAGACACGGUCCAGACUCCUACGGGAGGCAGCAGUGGGGAAUUUUGGACAAUGGGCGCAAGCCUGAUCCAGCCAUGCCGCGUAAGUGAAGAAGGCCUUCGGGUUGUAAAGCUCUUUCGGCGGGGACGAAACGGUCCGGGCUAACACCACGGACUAAUGACGGUACUCGCAGAAGAAGCACCGGCUAACUACGUGCCAGCAGCCGCGGUAAUACGUAGGGUGCAGGCGUUAAUCGGAAUUACUGGGCGUAAAGCGUGCGCAGGCGGCUCCUUAAGUCAGAUGUGAAAGCCCCGGGCUUAACCUGGGAACUGCGUUUGAAACUGGGGAGCUAGAGUGU